This is a long non-coding RNA of Taeniopygia guttata (zebra finch), 6178 nucleotides long. NCBI's taxonomy places the organism in Eukaryota, Metazoa, Chordata, Aves, Passeriformes, Estrildidae. The record is from Ensembl.
UUUGGCUUUCCGCUAUACUUUUUAUUCUCUUAGCCUAACCCAAAGCACUUUAAAAUACAUAACUGCUAUCAUCUUAGGGAAAGUUGUGAGGUAAUUAGGUCUCUGGUCUCUAAUUUAUAAGCAAAAGUGGAAAAACACCCUACUCUUGACAGGAUUAAAGUACCUGUGGGUACUAUUCAUGCUUUCAGAUCAUCUCCAGCCACUUUGUUCCUUUUAGGCCACUGCAGGUAUGUACAGAGAUUAUUAGAGAGACUUCCUGGUCGAUGCUCAGAGGAAAGCAGGUGUUUCCAGAAGGCAGUGCCAAGCUGGGUUCCAGGAACAUGAAGGCUUGUUCCACCCAGACCUGUGCUAGCUGGACGUGGGUCUGGGAUUGCUGCUGUGCCGGCUCCUGCCCCACUCACCAGUGACUCUAUUCCCACGUGCUGUGGGGUGUAAUCCAGCACAGGAGCUGCUGCCAGGGGACAGCUGGCCAAAGGUAAGUGUGUGAGUGUCAUUUCCAUCCUGCAGCUCACAAGAUUCCCUACUGCAUCUAUCAACGGGGCUCAGCCCGUCCUGGGGAUCUGAACAUGCAAAAGUGGACACAGAAACGGGGCUUCAGAGGCAGGUUGGCAGAACAGUUUUGGCAUGUGAAGUGACAAGUGCAGGGGGAAUACAAACUUCCUGAGCAAUAAUUUGCUAUUUUAUUAAUAUAUAUUAUGCCACAUGUGAAAUUUACUUGGGGACUUGCAUUAUCUAACAUUGCUCCAUUAGCUGAUCUCAGGGGAGAUUCAGGAUGGGCCUCUCCACCUGCUGAGGAGCUGUGCCAGAAAUGGCCUGGAGAUACAAGUGCAUAAACAUUACCUAAGCCUGAACGAGAACUAGCUUCAGACAAUACCAGUGCAUACUACCAAGCCUCCCUUUGAGAGAGGACAGGUAUAGGUGAUGGGAUACAGCAUAAAAGACACUAAAAAUGGCCUAUAUUCACAAAACUCUUCUACACAACCAUUAAUUUUUGUUUUCUUUCAAAAAUGACUUUCCUAUCAAUCCAACUCUGAGGCAGUUAACACAUGGAACUCAAAGAUACAGUUAACCCAUGUCUGUACACCAGGUUAAGAACAAAAUAUUUCAGUAUCAUAUUGAAAUCCCUAAUUCAUGCUGGGCCUUAACUUGAAGCAGCCACAGUUCCAGUUAUAAUAACCCUAGGAACAGAGAGGAUCUGAAACUUCUGAAAAUCAAGUCCAGAAUUUCCACCAGUGCCACAAACUCAAGGAAACUUUCUGAUGGUUUAAUUUGUAUUUGGAGUUUCACUGACCUAGCUAAUAAUAAUGAAAUAUAUUCUGUCUGUUCCUCAGACAGGUUCUACAUUACCAAGUGCAAUACUCCCAGCUGCAGUCAGUGUAUUCUUUUGCUCUAAACUCAUUUUCCAGAGCUAUAUUUCUCAAAAAUAUGAAUCUUGAAACUCCACUUUAAUGAUCAUAAAAGAUUUGGUUUCUGCUAUCCUCUUUAAGAAGUGCAUCCAGAGUCUAAGUCCAUUUUAGGAAUAUGCCAGAGAAAAAAAAGCUAAAAUGACUUGCCAAAGCUACUGUCUGACCUUUAAAUACAUAUUUAAAGCUCUGUCUCAGGGCUCCACAGCCCUCAAGGCGUUUCUUUCCUCAGUGCCAAAUGCAGAGUUCAUGCAGCCCCAGCUCCUCCAAAGUGCUAAGGUUACAUGUUAGAACCAGGUGCUGUUUACAUAAAAAAAGUGGGGCAAACAUCUGCAUGUCACCAAGCAUCUUUCCUGUACACUGAAUAUAAAUAUCCAGGUUAAACCUCUACUUCUUGACUGUGUUUCCUCCUACACCUUUAUCCGCUGAGGUAGUUUGUGAAAGUAACCUGAGAUAAAAAAUUUCCUUAUCAUGGUGUAAAAAUACUGGAUUUCCACUGCUUUAUAAUCUGAUUCUUUUGCUGGGUGUCCAUCAGCUCUUCAGGACGUGAUGCCAAGAGACACUAUCCAUGUUAAAAGGUUUGACAUCUGAAGGUCUUAUGAAUGGUUGGUGAGGGGAAUAUGGUUCAUAAAGCAGCAGGGGAAAGUUGUGCUGCAGAAAAGCCCUAGAAGAGAAGAGCAGCCAGUAGAAGACACAGUGGAUCUGAAUAAGAGGACUUAUUUAGCAGCCUCUGUGCAGAUGUCCAACACAGCUUCAUGUCUUGGAACUUCUCUCACCCUAAUCCCAAAGCAGCAAACACUGACCUUCCCGUGCCAGAGCAGCCUCAUGUGUUUGUUAGCAAGCCUUUGCACUACUAAGUAUUCAGAAAAGCUUGUCAGCAAAGCUUUUCAUUAAUUUAGUAGUGGUAGUGAUUGAUAACCAAAUAAUAUUGGUUAUUUAACCAAAAGAUCGUGUUCUGAAGAGAGCAAAUAUUUAGAAAGAACAAAUAUUUCCUGACAACAUUCAUUUAUCACAUUGGGAUUUAGAAAGCUGUGAAAAAGGCUUGGAGAGACCCACAAGAGACCAUGAUGUCCAUGUGUGAUCCAUGUAAUUUCUGAUGAUGAGCAUCAUCAGGAAAUACUUGUUACCAGCAAGGUCUUUUUUGGAUAUAUUUGUUUAAGGUCUGUAGGUCCUCCUUUAGGUGACUCACCUUAUUGUUGAGUUCUCCAGACACCUCAGCACAAAUUCCCUUUUAGUGUUGUUCUAGGCAUUUUUUCCUAGAGAGCACCUCUCCAAACCACUUGGUCUUUGCUCCAAAGGAGCUGAAACAUUAAAGUUUAUUUCAAUACCUGUGCAAGCAGCAGUUUGCCUAACACAUGUCUGCUGUCAUGGUACCUCACUGCCCACUGGGUGCCCAGCUCAGGCCCCACUGCUCUGACAUGAUCUGUAGAGUACACACAUUUGCACCAAGUGGUGAGUUUGGUCACUCAGUCAAAGAGCUGGUUUCUGAAGAUGAGUUAAACCCAAAAAAAAAAAAAAGAGUGAGGUCAGUGCUUAUUACCACAUGGACACUCAAGCCCAAAAGGAGCCUUGGUUGUGUCAUAGGAUGUAAAAUCUUGCAGCACCACACACUUCUAGCAGCAGAGAGAUAGCAGUUGUCUGGGAGGUUCAGUUCCCUUCAGGUUAAAUUAAAUUUAUGUUGGUUUAAUUUAAGACAGCUGGGAAGAGUUUUCAAGCUAAAAUAAUAAAAGCCACUCCUAAAGUGAAAUAAUGGAUGGCAAUAAUAUUGACAUGUGGAAAUAAUAAUAAAGACAUACUUCCCACUAAAAGUUUGUUGUUUUGUGUUUUUGUUUUUUGUUUUUGUUUUUGUUUUUGUUUUUGUUUUUUAAUGAAAUAGAAUCAAAAGAAGUUUCUAUGUGGACCAUAACUCAGAGGCCAAUGAGUCUUAGGUAUCUUUGAGAAGAGGGAACACUAUCCUCAAACUGUCUGCUGGGAUGCCGCAGGAAUUCUGAAGCCCAGAUUAUUUUUUUCUUUGUACUUUAACACAGACAAAGUUGAAGCAGGUUCACAGACAUAAAGCACAUGCUUUAUUCCCUGAUUUUGUAGCUGGUGGCAUACACCAAGUUCAAGGUUAAUAGGAAAAUUAUAGACAGGAUUCAACUGGGAGUCCUCAGGUGGCCAUCCUCUCCUGGUAUCUCCUCCAGUGCAGCAGGAGAUCACUGUCCUAUCAACAACCACCCCACAGUAAAAUUAUACUCUUUAGUAAAGCCUGCUCAAGUUGCCUUCCAGUGAUCUUUGUCUGAUAGCAACACUGGCACUGGUUGGAUUACACUUGAUUAAGUACAAAUGUUGCACGCUAAUUGGCUGAUACACCUUGUAUGCAUUUUUAAUCAAGUAUUACUUAUCCUAUAUUAAAAUUACUACUAUAUACUCUUUAUAUGUAAUAUGUACUCAUGGAUCUAGAAGGCACCAAGUGGAAAGAGUGUGGGAACUUGAGUGCUGAAUGAUAUGAAUGAUAUAACUUGACAGCAACAUGAUGAAAAGGUAGGGCAGAAGAGCACAGGAGGAUGGCUGAAGUAUAGGAAGCCUUUCCCAGGGAAUAUGGCAUAAAAAGUUCACCCCUGGAAGGCUGUGAGGAAAAGAGCACUGAUGAAAGGGCCAGAAGAAAGGGGCUGCCACAGCAGCCCGGGAGUAACUUUAAGUGAAAGGCUAUAAGCAAAAAAAGCCCCCUAAAAAUUAGAAAACUUUUAGGAAUAGGCCAGUACAAACAAUAUUUGGAUAACCAGACUCCCUCUAAGCCUCAUAAAAAUUACAUAAAAGUGGUCAGUGGGAUUUUGAGCAUAUCCUGCACUCCAGGUACACACAGAGUUCCAAACUAUCCCGUUCAUCCGGCACACAGAAAUUGAUGGGAAAGUCUGAGCUUUUAUUUCCAAGUUUCAUUGUUUGUAUGAUCUACCAUAGGCAGGGAAGAUUAAAGAAUAAGGGAAUGCCUAAAUAUAGAAAGAACAAAGAAGAGCUCAAUAGAUGAAUGUGAGUAACUGCAUCAGGUGCAAAAACACAGUUAGUGACAUUGUAAUUACUGAAAUUAAAUAUCAAUUUAUGCGAGUAUGCACUGUAACACUUUUGACAGCCUCAAACAUUAUAUGAUAGCAAAUAUAAGUGGGAUGACAGCUCCCUAAUUUGUAAAGUAGAAUCAUAGAACCAUUAAAGCUCACUUAAAGAAUUUUAUUCCAUAAGAUACAAGGACGGGAAAGGUUUCAGUGCAAAGAGGAUAAGUGAUAAUAAAUGCCCAGUAAAACCAUGCAUACAUCUGCAGCUAUUGAGACACACAGCAGCUUUUCUAAAAUACAAAUGUAGUACAUGAAGUAACAAAUCCUGCAGCAGCACCAUGGAAAACUUUGGUCUGAAGGAGAGAGUGGGAAGAAGAUCAUUCCCAUUGGGAUAGGACACACCUCACUUUAGAUGCUUCAGGCAUACGGGUUGCAUGCUAAUUGUGUCUGUGUCUUCCUCUAGUCCACAGGGAGGAACGAGUGUCACCAGAGACAAUCCUUACCAUAGAGAUAUCCAUUCAGCAUGCCAGGUGGUGAGAUGAAUCCAGGUCAUUUCCUUCGCUUACCAAUUUUCAUCAGAGAACUUUCCAUUUCUUCAGCAUGUCUCUCCAAGGCUGGCCCUUUAAGUGUGUGAGAGCUCUGCAGCCACCAGGCAGCAAUAUUUUUCCUUCAAAACAGCUUCACGUUCCUCUCCCACCUCCCCUCUUUCCUCCUGGUGUUUAGGUCCUCUUUGCUAGCAGGAUGGCUUUUUUUUUCACUCCGUUGCUAGGUUGGUAGCCUAGUUUCCCAAGGAAAGGAAGCUUAUGAGAUCACACUGUCUGUGCAAGUGCCAGUCGGUCCCUCCUAAAUAAUUUUUGAGCCUGUGAACUAAGUUUUAUCAAACUUGACAGGGGAUAGAAGUCUCAAAGGUUUGAGCUGCCUACAAGUGCUGUGGAAGUAGGCAGGAGGAGGAGAAAAAAUGCUGGGAGUGCAUCCACUGCAGAAAUAUAAUUGUAUUAUUAGACACCAGAGAGUCCACAUCGAAGACAGUCAUUACCACUGAACUCCAUGGGAGAUACAAUUUCACAGAUUCAGCAGCUCACAAGAUGACUUGAUUAAUAUGAGCAUGAGCAAAAUGUUCUUCUCCCCUUCUUCUAGAGCACAAGGCUUCACUUGAGAGCAGCAGGGGAGAGCACAGAAAUGACAGGUUGGUAAGAGUGAAUUUAGAGCUAAUUGCUGCUCCUUCUCAUGCCAGUCCUCGUGUGGAACUCGACUUCCCUGUGACUCCGGUGCCCCCGGUUGCAUGAUCUGGUUCACACAAAGGAUGAAAUUGCAUGGACUAGAGCAGAGCAAAUCCCAAAUUGCCGUGGGCUCUGCUGAGGAGGGUGAAGCUGCCUUAUAAUGGGCCAUCAUUUCUAAGGACAGCUCCACGAUGAAGCAUCCAGCUCGUCCGGGUCUGUCCUCCUGGUGCUGGUCUGUGCUGCAGCUGCUAACGGCGAUUCAUUUGCCACGAGUGUGAGCUGGAACAUAGGCUGAGGACCAGCAAAAGCUGUGCCUGGUGCGUAGGCUGGCUCUUGUUUGUUCCUGCUGUGGCUUUUCCUAGAAGUCAGGCACCCCAGGACUGCCUGACUACUGAGCCUGAGCAAAACCCUCGCAGUCCCUUGUUAACACUUGCCAGGGAGAAAAACAAGCUAUUUGCAUGGGUAGGAUUCAAUAAGAAGUGGAAAUCACUCAUCUUGCAAAAAAAAAAAAAAAAAACAAAAAAAA